AAUUCGAAGCAACGCGAAGAACCUUACCAGGUCUUGACAUCCUCUGACACUCCUAGAGAUAGAAUUUUCCCCUUCGGGGGACAGAGUGACAGGUGGUGCAUGGUUGUCGUCAGCUCGUGUCGUGAGAUGUUGGGUUAAGUCCCGCAACGAGCGCAACCCUUGAUCUUAGUUGCCAGCAUUCAGUUGGGCACUCUAAGGUGACUGCCGGUGACAAACCGGAGGAAGGUGGGGAUGACGUCAAAUCAUCAUGCCCCUUAUGACCUGGGCUACACACGUGCUACAAUGGAUGGUACAAAGGGCAGCGAAGCCGCGAGGUGGAGCCAAUCCCAUAAAACCAUUCUCAGUUCGGAUUGCAGGCUGCAACUCGCCUGCAUGAAGCCGGAAUCGCUAGUAAUCGCGGAUCAGCAUGCCGCGGUGAAUACGUUCCCGGGCCUUGUACACACCGCCCGUCACACCACGAGAGUUUGUAACACCCGAAGUCGGUGGGGUAACCGUAAGGAGCCAGCCGCCUAAGGUGGGACAGAUGAUUGGGGUGAAGUCGUAACAAGGUAGCCGUAUCGGAAGGUGGGGCUGGAUCACCUC
This 582-nucleotide ribosomal RNA is filed under the name uncultured Caryophanales bacterium. RNAcentral describes it as "bacterial SSU rRNA". It matches the Rfam family "Bacterial small subunit ribosomal RNA", at positions 948 to 1529 of the family's 1533-position model. Lineage: Bacteria; Bacillati; Bacillota; Bacilli; Caryophanales. The record is from RNAcentral.